Molecule: ribosomal RNA, 301 nt
Filed under: uncultured bacterium
Lineage: Bacteria
Description: partial 16S ribosomal RNA
Rfam family: Bacterial small subunit ribosomal RNA
Source: RNAcentral
CAGCAGCCACGGUAAUACGGAGGGAGCUAGCGUUGUUCGGAAUUACUGGGCGUAAAGCGCGCGUAGGCGGUUACUCAAGUCAGAGGUGAAAGCCCGGGGCUCAACCCCGGAACUGCCUUUGAAACUAGGUGACUAGAAUCUUGGAGAGGUCAGUGGAAUUCCGAGUGUAGAGGUGAAAUUCGUAGAUAUUCGGAAGAACACCAGUGGCGAAGGCGACUGACUGGACAAGUAUUGACGCUGAGGUGCGAAAGCGUGGGGAGCAAACAGGAUUAGAUACCCGGGUAGUCCCUGUCUCUUAUAC